RNAcentral lists this transfer RNA (72 nucleotides) under Ovis aries (sheep). It matches the Rfam family "tRNA". Rfam says of the family: Transfer RNA (tRNA) molecules are approximately 80 nucleotides in length. Their secondary structure includes four short double-helical elements and three loops (D, anti-codon, and T loops). Further hydrogen bonds mediate the characteristic L-shaped molecular structure. tRNAs have two regions of fundamental functional importance: the anti-codon, which is responsible for specific mRNA codon recognition, and the 3' end, to which the tRNAs corresponding amino acid is attached (by aminoacyl-tRNA synthetases). tRNAs cope with the degeneracy of the genetic code in two manners: having more than one tRNA (with a specific anti-codon) for a particular amino acid; and 'wobble' base-pairing, i.e. permitting non-standard base-pairing at the 3rd anti-codon position. The record is from Rfam by way of RNAcentral. Lineage: Eukaryota; Metazoa; Chordata; Mammalia; Artiodactyla; Bovidae.
UCCCUGGUGGCUCUGACAGUACAGCAUCUGCCUGCAAUGCAGGAGACCCAGGUUCAAUCCCUGGGUUGGGAA